UACGGGGGGGGCAAGCGUUGUUCGGAAUUACUGGGCGUAAAGGGCUCGUAGGCGGCCAACUAAGUCGGAUGUGAAAUCCCCAGGCUUAACCUGGGAACUGCAUCCGAUACUGGAUGGCUUGAAUCCGGGAGAGGGAUGCAGAAUUCCAGGUGUAGCGGUGAAAUGCGUAGAUAUCGGAAGGAACAUCAGUGGCGAAGGCGACUUCCUGGACCAAUACUGACGCUCAGGUGCGAAAGCGUGGGGAGCAAACAGG
RNAcentral lists this ribosomal RNA (253 nucleotides) under uncultured bacterium. RNAcentral describes it as "partial 16S ribosomal RNA". It matches the Rfam family "Bacterial small subunit ribosomal RNA", at positions 524 to 776 of the family's 1533-position model. The record is from RNAcentral.